Molecule: small nuclear RNA, 186 nt
Organism: Meriones unguiculatus (Mongolian gerbil)
Lineage: Eukaryota; Metazoa; Chordata; Mammalia; Rodentia; Muridae
Gene: U2
Rfam family: U2 spliceosomal RNA
About the family: U2 is a small nuclear RNA (snRNA) component of the spliceosome (involved in pre-mRNA splicing). Complementary binding between U2 snRNA (in an area lying towards the 5' end but 3' to hairpin I) and the branchpoint sequence (BPS) of the intron results the bulging out of an unpaired adenosine, on the BPS, which initiates a nucleophilic attack at the intronic 5' splice site, thus starting the first of two transesterification reactions that mediate splicing.
Source: Ensembl
AUCGCUUCUCGGCCUUUUGGCUAAGAUCAAGUGUAGUAUCUGUUCUUAUCAGUUUAAUAUAACCUGGAUUUUGAUUGGCUCUUAUAUUCAGAAAUGAUUUUGUAAAGCUGCACACUGAUUAUUUGGAAAACGCUAGAAGUGUGCAUGUGCGCCUAUGGUUAAAUUCCCAGUAUUGACACAUUUAAU